Molecule: RNA transcript, 8351 nt
Organism: Cercocebus atys (sooty mangabey)
Lineage: Eukaryota; Metazoa; Chordata; Mammalia; Primates; Cercopithecidae
Gene: MGAT1
Gene name: mannosyl (alpha-1,3-)-glycoprotein beta-1,2-N-acetylglucosaminyltransferase
Exons: 4
Source: RefSeq, a predicted model, not a curated record
CUUCAGUGUUCCAGGAAAGUCCACCCUCUCCUUCUAGGGGUGGAUCUUAGUGGAUCUAAUGAAUCACACAUGAAAAGAGACGAAAAAGACGAAGGAGUUUCAGGAGAGUAUUGACCAGGUCAAAGGAGAGGGUGGGGGAAAAGAGCCAUGAAAUAAUUGGGAGACAAACUUCUGGGGGCUUUUGAUUGACUGGAUGUGGGAAUGUUGUGGAAGACGUCUGGCCUGCCAUUUCCUGAGAAUGGGACUGCUGAGAGAGGAGCCGGGGGGAGCACUGCAAAUUUCGCUUUGGACACGUGAGUCAUCUGUGAGGGGACCAAGCUGGGAGGGCAAGCAGGGAACUGGACACGUGGCCCUGGAGCACAGAGAAGGGGCUUCAGCAGGCAUAUUUAGGUGUUGCCAUGGUUCCAAUGUUCCCUCCAAAACUCAUGUUGGAAUUUAAUUCCCAAAGUGGCAGCAUGGCGAGGGGGGGCCUGUAAAAGGUGAUUGGAUCAUGAAGGCUCUAUUCUCACUAAUGAAUGGAUUCAUCAUGGGAGAACGGGCAGCUUUGUAAGAGAGGAAGAGAGACCUGUGCUAGCACCUUAGCACGCUCACCCUCUUGCCAUGUCAUGCCCUCAACCCUUCAGGACUCUGCAGAGUCCCCACCAGCAAGAUGGCUCUCACCAAAUGCAGCCCCUCAACUUUGGACUUCUCAGCCUCCAGAGCUAUAAGAAAUAAAUUUCCUUUCUCUAUAAAUUACCCAGUUUCAGAUAUUCCUUGUUUUUAAUUUUUAAUUUUUUUUUUUAUUUUUUGAGACGGAGUCUCACUCUGUCACCCAGGCUGGAGUGCAAUGGCGCGAUCUCAGCUCACUGCAACCGCCGCCCGCCCCAGGGUUCAAGUGAUUCUCCUGCCUCGGCCUCCCGAGUAGCUGGGAUUACAGGCGCCUGCCACCACGCCCGGCUAAUUUUUGUUUUUAGUAGAGAUGGGGUUUCACCAUCUUCGUCAGGUUGGUCUUCAACUCCUGACCUCGUGACCCACCCACCUCGGCCUCCCAAAGUGCUGAGACUGCAAGUGUGAGCCACAGCACCUGGCCCCCGUUUCAGAUACUCUGUUAUAAGCAAUAGAAACAGAGGAAGUAUCUUUGACAUGGAGUGGAUACUGGAAGCCAUGUGACUUCUGUGGGAUCAUCUCGAAAGAAAGUGUAAAAUGAGAAGACACAAGGGCCCAGGAAAGAGCCCUAGGGAACUCAGCAUUUGCACAGCAAGUACCGGGUAAAGGGAGAAAAGGGAGAAGCCUGUCAGGAAGCUGAGGAGGAGCAGCCAGAGGAGGGGGAACCCAGGAGAGCAUGCGGAUAUGGGAGUCAGAAGUGUGUCAGAAGAAAGAAGCAGCUGACAAUGUCAGAAGCUGCCAAGAGGCACAAUAACAUUGAGGGAGGAAGUGAGUGUGGUUGUUUCUUUAUGGGCCAGAGUUUUAAAAUACCAGGAUGAAAGGGCACCUAACAAAUAGCAAAUACACUAACUUUUGUAUUUUGUACCUACCAGACUUCAGACUAAAAAAAGCACAAAGAAUACUUGCCAGGGUACGGAGAAGCCCAGGAAAUUGCAAGAGAUAUCCAGUUUCUGAAAUGAAUUACAAUUAUCAUCUGAAUAAAUAGUGUGAAAAAAUACACACCUGAAAAAAUGUGUGAAAAUGGCCAAGAAAACAUUGAAAAUCAAGGUCACUGGGGGAAGACUUUUACUGCCAGUUAUUAAAAUUUACUAUCAGCUGUACUGACUAGAACAGCUGCCAGAAUAGAUAAUUCAACAAGCCAGGAUGGGAAGCCCUGAGACUUAAGUUUGGUGGGGACUGUACGUAGGCCCCCUGGCUACCUUCUUUCUCGAUGAAUAGGUCACACAUCUAACUCCCUCGCAAUUAGGUUCACCCACUCAGGUGCCCUUGAGUUAGACUGGAAAGGCAGAAGGGAGCGGAGGCCAUUUUCCUGCUGCUUCUGAUGUAGAUGCGAGGCUUCCAUAGGAAAGAGGGGUCCACCUGUAUAAAGAGCCCAACAACCAUAUUCUCCAGAUGUUCAGUCCCUCUUCGCCCCCCCCAAUCCAAAUGACAGUCUGACACACUGACCACGGAGACUCCACCUGCUGGUCCUCCAGGUGGAGUAACUGAUAACAAAAAUCUCUAGCUUACUCCUAAGUGUUUAUUCUGAAGGCAGAGAAUGUACAGCAAGACCAGACUUUUGGCCCAGCUAGCGCUGACUUUGCAAUAUCAAAAUUGCACGUAAACAGACUUAAAAAGCAAAUGACAAACUGGGAAAAUGGCUGUAACAUAGGUGACAAAGGGCUGAUAUUCUAUAAAGAGUUCUUGCGAAUGAAUAAGAUAAAGAUGAAUCCAAGUGGGCAAAAGAUAUGCGCAGGCAAUCUGCAAAAGUGAUGCAUAAAAACAGGUUCAACAUUACUAGUAAUCAGUGGAAUAAAACUUAAAACAACAAUGCGAAACCACUGUUCUAUCAUAUUAACAAAGAUGACAAAAAAUGGUGUGACAGUGCAGGGUGUGGAGAAAAGUUGAUGUCGAAGCUGUGCCGUCUUUCUAUAUGUCUUUCACAUUAAUCAAACGCCUUCAACAACGAGCACCACUUUUGACAUGAGUUCCUGGACUUUAUCCUUAAAAAAAAAACAUGACGUGCACGUAGAUUUAGCUACAAGUAAUUUUGCAAAAGUGAAAAGUUGAAAACAACCCAAAUGUACAAAAAUAGCGGAGAUAAUUAUGGUACAUUUGUAUAAUAGUAUGCCACUUGGUCAUUAAAAAUGCCAUAGAAGUGUAUUUUUCAUAGGCUUAUUUCUGGUUGCUGGUGUUACAGGUGGUUUUUGCUUUUUUAUUUUAUCAUUUUCUAUUUUCCUGUAAUUAUUGCACAUUUUUAAUAACAACGUUUUAAAACUGGCAAUUAUAUGGUGAAAAGGGCAUUAGUAAAUUCUGAAGCAACUGAAAUUGUAACUGACCAUUAAUAAAUAAACAUCAUUACAUACUAACAUUUACCUUAAAUAAACUAGAUUUCAUUUUUCUACUAUGGGAGGAAAGACCUAAAAUACAAAUUGACUCGAAUUAUAGAAAAUAAAGUUACAAUUCAGGAAUAUCUGUCUUUGAACUGUGAAAUUUGUACCUGUUAUGUGUGUGUGCACGCACGCGUGUAUAAAAAAUAUUUGGAUAUCCACUAGUUUAAAACAGUGGUUCCUUUCAGCAGGGUGGGAUGAGAGGGGGACAGGAGACAAUUUUUUGUUUACACAACUCUGUAUGACUUGUUAUAAUAAGCAUGAAAAAUCGAAGGUCACUUAAGUAAAAAUGGCUAUAAUUAUGAAAAUACUUAGAAAUAUGUAAAGUCUCUAUGGUAUGAUUAGAAAUCAUAAUGCAAAAUAUGUAUACUGUGCUUGUAACUAUGUUCAUAUAUUUCCACGUGAGAGAAGCCUGAAGGGGAAUACUCUACAAUGAAAAUAGUUGUUCAAGUUCAUUCAUUCGUUCAUUUAUUCCACAAAUGUGUGCUGAGCUGCUACUAUGUGCAAGGCAACUGUUGCAGGCACCUGGAUACAGCAGGCAAUCAAAAGUCAAAAGUGCCUCCACUCAGGGAACUUAAAUUCUAGUAGCGGGAGACAGACAAUAACAUGGUAAACACAGCGAGUAUUUUAGGAGGCGGUGAGUGAGUGUCGUGGGAAGAGUGGAGCAGGCCAAGGGAGACUAGCAGUGCUCUGGGUCAGGGCCACGUUUAAAUAGGUCGGUCAGGAAAGGCCUCACUGAGGUGACAUGGGAGUGAAGAUUUGAAAGAGCUGAAGGGGUCAGUCCUGGACACGCCUGGACGGGGGGUUUUACAAGUAGACAGCAGCCAGUGCAGAGGCCAGAGGACGCGGACAGCAAGUCAGACAGCUAGGCAACCAGCGGGUUGUCCGGCUCUGCGGCCAUUGUAAGGACUUUGGUAAACUGAGGAGCCGCUGUGCAGCGUGGAGCACAGAACCCACAGGAUCCCUGCGGCUGCUGCAUGGAAACCCGGCGACUGGGAGCGUAGGGAGGGCAGGAGACCGAGGUGCUCAGGCGAGGGAUGAAGGGGGUGCGGACAUGUUGAGGUGCUGCAUCCUAGACACAGACUGAAGGUAGCGUCAACAGGAUUUCCAGUCAGGGUGUGUCGAGAGUGUGAGAGUGAAGCUGGCUCUUCCGGCUCUGGCCUGAGUAAAUGCAGCCGCCAUUAAUGCUGAUGGGAAAGGCAGGCGGGCGGAGCGGGUGGGGGAAGAAAGGGUCUUACUUUCUUCUUCCUUGGAAUAAUAUAUUCCAAGCAAUAUAAUUAAGCAACAUAUAUUUUCUCCUUUAAGAAAAUUCCAAAUAUUAUGGUAUCAUUCCAAAUAAAAAAAUCAUUUCAAGAGUCCUGACGCAGCAACCAUUACACUCCCGGUAACGGGAAUGUUCAGUCCGUCUGUGCUCCGGAGACAUCCCACCGCAGAACACAGGGCCGAGAUUCCGGCGUUCGAAAAGCGGGGGCAAAACGGAGGCUGCAAACCCGUGCCCAGUCCUGAAGACUCUCGAAAAUGUGGGGAGAGCGCUGCACAGGAACUUCGAAAACGAGAGGCGGCUCCUAGGAUCCAGGGUGCGGGAAAACCGCGGGGCACAUUUGGAACUCGGGUCCGACGUCUGAAGGAGCGGAGGCCGCUUCCGAGGAGCCCGGGGCACGCCGGGAACGGCCAGGCCGCCCUCCUCCCGGCAGCCUCGGGGGCCCGGCCACAGGGACCAACAGCACCUGCCGGAGGGCGGGAAGGUCCUGCCUCGUCAAGGGAGGCAGCGAGAAACGGCCGCGAUGAACGAAAUAAAACCUUUCUCCACCACUGGGACGCAGCUCGCGUCCGAGGAAGCAGAACACACCGGCCGCGGAGCUUUCCGAAAGGCUUCGCGCCGGGACCCGCGACCAGCACGGGGGCCCCCACCCUUUUCGAGAAGCCGGGUCAGGCGGGCCGUGGCGGGGCGACCUUUGGGCGGAGGCAGAGGGCAGGGCUGCCCCGCACAGGUUCCGCCCCCACCUCAGCGUCCUCGCCCCGCCCAAGCCCCGCCCAGCAGCCCAAGGGCCAAACCCCCGCGACGCAUGCGUGCUGCUUCCGCGCGCCUCCACCUGCCGUGCGCUUCCGCCGCUGGCCAGGCUCUUCUGCCCCUCCCCCUUCUGUACGGCCGCCACUCUGCGCCCGGCUUCGUUCUCACAACCUGGUUCUGCCCACACCUGCCCUUCAGCCCUGUGAACAGUGGCUGUCGAACAAUCUCAGGCCCUGCACACCCACCUCCCUCGCUCCCGUGGUGGCGGUGGUGAAGGGCUGGGGACGUGGGGUAGAAAAAUCGGCGGCAUGUGGGAGGCCGCGGUGCCGGGGCCCACUUCCGGAGGACGGGCGGAAGUGGCUGCGGUGGAUGGUGGGAGGGGGAAGGAGUGCGAGGGGAGGGCCGGGCCGCUGGGGGUCGAGGGGGUGGGGCCUGGGCCGGCGCUGGGGAUCGGGCCUGGGGCCUGGAUUGCUACCCGGGCGGGCCGCGGCUCUUAGCCGAGGCGGGGCGGGCGGGAACCAGGUUAACACGAAAAUCUGCCACCUGGGCCAUGCCGCUUCUAAGGCCUGUUUCUUAUGAGCCUCCGCAGAAGACAGAUGGGUCCGUUCUUACAGUGGAUAACUUCCCCUGCCUGAGCAAGAGAUGGGAUAGUAUCUGGGAUCUGCCCAUCACCAGACUCUGAGCUUAAUAAGGCAGCUGAAUGAAGGGAGGUAACGGACCCCUGAGAGGGGCACUGAAGUCUGCAGUGGGGGGGGAGGGGCCUGGACACACCCCUUCCCCCCCAGACUCCUCCCCGUCAGGGUCAGCUCAGCCAUGGACUUUGGACCUGGAUAAGAAGAGAGAAGCUGCACUUUGGUGGAUCUGAUUUGGGAUUCUCAGUUUUGAAAAUGGAGUGCUGAAUGGGGGUUUGAUGAUCUCCUGGGGAGCAACUGAGACAAGAGGAAAGGUACUGCUGGCUGCAUAAUGAGUCACCCCAGAACUUAGUGGCUUACAGCAACAGAAUCAUUUCAUUAACGUCUCAGCUACGUGGUUCUUGCUUGUGGUCUUUCACACGGUUGCAGUCAGUGUGAGCAGUCUUCCAUCUAGCCACUUGAACCUCACACAUGUGCCAAGCACUGUGACGGGCACAGAAGUCAGAGUCUUCUUUCCUAAGGAGGAAGGUGGGAGUCAGGUGCGUGUGGCCACAGAUUCUGUUAUGGUGUGGAGAGAGUGCUAUGGGAGUGUAGCCACAGGGAGGCCUGGCUCUGUCUGCGAUGUUGCAGAAGGAGUCACCUGAAGUGGCCUGAAAGGAUGUGUGGGCGGCUGGCAGGGGGUGCCAUGGGCCAGAUUUCAGGGUGAGGGGCCAGCUGGAGCAAAGACCCAGCAGUGUCCAGGUUUGCUUAUUGGGGAAAAAGCAUCCUGCUGAGGCCAGAGUGCAGGGUCCCUGGGGUGGGUGGUGGGAGGUCAGGUUGGAAAGGGAUGUUUGAGCCAGUCUGUAAGAACGGCUUUGUAUGUCAUCAUAAUGAGUUUGAGUUUUAUUUGGUGGGCUGUGCAGCCUCUGAUGGCUUUAAGGCAAGUUAAUGUGACCAGACGUGCUUGUCAGGAGGGAUGCACCGUUGCUGUUGGGAGGGUUUGUGAGAGGGAAGCAGGAUGAGUGACAGGUAGACCAGCUAGGAAACUACAUCAAGAGUCCAGACUUAAGACAGUCCUUCCUAUGAAGGAGUGAGUUCAGGUUAACGGGCUGGAGGGUUUGACAUGGGCCGCUAGCAGUCAGUGAGUAACUUUGUACUUCCAUUCUCACAGUUUUGAAGUUUUUGGGCCUAGACGUAUUUCAGAAUUCAGAAUUUUUGGGGUUUUGAAAAGGUGAUCUGGUGAAUUCACUCUGUAGUGGAAGAUCAGAAGCAGCACAGCAUAAGCCACCAUGUUUAUUUCUGUAGCAAAAUGUAUGAAUAACCACAGCAGGAGAGAUAAAAGACUAUAAAUAGCCCCAUAUUAGAUCAGAUCAGAUUUUAGCAAAUGAGCUUGGAUGAGGCUUUACUGCCAAUUGAGUUUAGAAAACUUCUGUUUUUUAGUGCUUCUUGGAUUUGGCAGUUGCAGUUGAGGAACUGUGGAUGUGUUUAGAUCCCAGGCACGUCUGCUGAAUGUUGAGGGCCCUAGCACAGCGGCUUGGUGGUGCUGGUGGAGCCAAUCCCUGUCUUCAUGUAGCUUGCAGCUGAGGAGACUUGAGAGAAAUCGAGCAGGUGGUUGCGCUCAUUGCUGUUGGUGAAGGGUAGGUGGACCUUAUGUGGUCCCAGGGGUCAAGGAAGGCAUCUUGGCAGAGACACGACAGAGUGUGCCAGGUGAAGAAGAUAGGGAAGAGCAGAGCUGGCUCAAGGGCACAUGCACAGACCCCAGGGGUAGGGUUGGCCAUUGGGGUGCCCGAUGGGAGUGUGGUAGAGUGGAACAAAGAGAAUGGGGAGAAAGGAGUGAAGUAACUGGCCAGUAUUCACGUGGUCAUGCCGGGCACUGUUCUAAACACCUAACAUGGCUUAUCUCAUCUGAUCUUCACAGCAACCCAGUUUGAGUCUCAGAAAUGUGACAAAACGUAGGGUGACGCCUCUGGGCUGUCUGGCUUGCCUUUGUUACUGCUGCACUCUCCUGAUGGUGGCCUGAGCAGACCUGAGCAGUGCUUCCUGGAGGAGCAGGUCACCGCUGCUGGCCAGGGUCUGGGCUUGACCGUCCUUUUGGGCACAGCCAGCUGUGAGAGAGAGUGUGACUCCUGGUUCAUGUGUGUGCACACAGCACUAACUUCCAGGCAGAGCUGAGGAUCGUAUCCCAGGAAUUACAUGGGUAAACAGUAGGAAAAUAGCACUGGGGCCCAGGAUGAGCCUAUGUGAAGAAGCAGGUGGGCUGGAAAUAGGGGUGUCAUGUACUCUUACAGCAAGAGGAGCAAGUUUGAAGCACAGGGUUGUGGGGUGGAGAACAACGGUCCAAGCACUGAAGUGGAGGCCAGGGCUGGGCUGGGGCAGCUUUUCCUGUGGGCUCUCCAGCCACUGCAGAUGUGUGCAGAUUUGCUAAGUAAAAACCCAGUCAGAAGAUUGCUUUGACCUGCAUGACUUAGAAGGGUGGGGCAGGAGGUCCUAAGUGUCAGGUAGUGGGUGUGGGCCACAAAUUCUAAUGUUUGGAGAAGAGUAAAAAGUCAUCUAAAGGGUGCAGAAGUUGUCUGGAGGGUCCCAUGAGGCUUUGCCAUAAGGGCUUGCAGGUCGUUGAUAAGUCAGGGACGGGCUAUCCCUCUAGCCCCCUUUUUUAUUUCUUUUUCUGGGAUGGAGUCUUGCUGUGUCAUCCAGGCUAAAAGGCAGUGGCGCCAU